UCGCCCUUAAUGCUCAGUAACACGUGGCUAACCUGCCCUUGGGACGAAAACACCCCCGGGAAACUGGGGUUAAUUUUCGAUAGGUGAAAAAUUCUGGAAUGAAUUUUCGCCCAAAGGAUAUUUAUGUCAUGCUCAUAAGCAUUGCCCAAGGAUGGGGCCGCGACCGAUCAGGUUGUUGGUGAGGUAAUGGCUCACCAAGCCUUUUACCGGUACGGGCCGUGAGAGCGGGAGCCCGGAGAUGGGCACUGAGACAAGGGCCCAGGCCCUACGGGGCGCAGCAGUCGCGAAAACUUUGCAAUACACGAAAGUGUGACAAGGCUAUCCCGAGUGCCAUCCGCUGAGGAAGGCUUUUACUCAGUAUAAAUAGCUGGGAGAAUAAGGAGAGGGCAAGUCUGGUGUCAGCCGCCGCGGUAAUACCAGCUCUCCGAGUAGUGUGGAUGUUUAUUGGGCCUAAAGCAUCCGUAGCUUGCUAAAUAAGUCCCCUGUUAAAUCCACCGAUUCAAUCGUUGGAUUGCGGGGGAUACUGUUUGGCUAGGGGACGGGAGAGGCCGACGGUAUUUCCGGGGUAGGGGUGAAAUCCUAUAAUCCCGGGAAGACCACCAGUGGCGAAGGCUGUCGGCUAGAACGCGCCCGA
RNAcentral lists this ribosomal RNA (634 nucleotides) under uncultured archaeon. RNAcentral describes it as "bacterial SSU rRNA". It matches the Rfam family "Archaeal small subunit ribosomal RNA", at positions 77 to 694 of the family's 1478-position model. The record is from RNAcentral.